UUUUUGGUGUAUAUAAAGACAGUCUAUUUCACUCCAAAGUCAGUAAAAAGUAGAAGUGUACAUUGUAAACAUAAAGUUUUAUUCUGCUGAUUCAGGAAAAACAACAACGGUGCAAAAUGUCCAAAUUUAUAGUCCCAACUAUGUUGGCAUUCAUGGUUCUGUUCUGUGGAUGCUUUUUCGAGUCAGUUCAUGGAACUGGUCAGGUCUCUCAAUGCUUGACACCAACGGCUCUCGGAAACAUCAACAACGUUCCUUCCAAUAGACAGACAAGUAAAUGCAGUACUGGACUCUAUUGUCACAAAUGGUACAGUAAUACUGUUUGCGAAACUAACGAUGCAGACCGUGCCAAUGAAUUCAAAGCUUGUUGUGAAUCAGCUCGAUAUGCAUACAAUACAUUCUAUGUCAAUUAGGGAAAUUUCUAUUUUUUUACUGGAGCUGUCUAAGAGUUGUUUCUUUCAUUCUUCUUAUUUUGAUCAAAAAUCCUUUCUAAAUUUUUCUUAAAUAAAUAAAAAUGAAUAUUACUUUGACUAUCA
This is a long non-coding RNA of Bradysia coprophila, 533 nucleotides long. RefSeq lists it as uncharacterized. Lineage: Eukaryota; Metazoa; Arthropoda; Insecta; Diptera; Sciaridae. The record is from RefSeq and is a predicted model, not a curated record.